UACGUAGGGGCCUAGCGUUGUCCGGAUUUAUUGGGCGUAAAGAGCUCGUAGGCGGCUUGUCACGUCGGGUGUGAAAGCCCGGGGCUUAACCCCGGGUCUGCAUUCGAUACGGGCUAGCUAGAGUGUGGUAGGGGAGAUCGGAAUUCCUGGUGUAGCGGUGAAAUGCGCAGAUAUCAGGAGGAACACCGGUGGCGAAGGCGGAUCUCUGGGCCAUUACUGACGCUGAGGAGCGAAAGCGUGGGGAGCGAACAGG
Molecule: ribosomal RNA, 253 nt
Filed under: uncultured bacterium
Lineage: Bacteria
Description: partial 16S ribosomal RNA
Rfam family: Bacterial small subunit ribosomal RNA
Source: RNAcentral